UGGGGAAUCUUGGACAAUGGGCGCAAGCCUGAUCCAGCCAUGCCGCGUGAGUGACGAAGGCCUUAGGGUUGUAAAGCUCUUUUGGCGGGGACGAUAAUGACGGUACCCGCAGAAUAAGCCCCGGCUAACUUCGUGCCAGCAGCCGCGGUAAUACGAAGGGGGCUAGCGUUGUUCGGAAUCACUGGGCGUAAAGCGCGCGUAGGCGGCUUAACAAGUCAGAGGUGAAAGCCUGGAGCUCAACUCCAGAACUGCCUUUGAAACUGUUAAGCUUGAGUGUCGGAGGGGAUAGCGGAAUUUCUAAUGUAGAGGUGAAAUUCGUAGAUAUUAGAAGGAACACCGGUGGCGAAGGCGGCUAUCUGGACGACAACUGACGCUGAGGCGCGAAAGCGUGGGGAUCAAACAGGAUUAGAUACCCUCGUAGUCCCUGAGCGGGCUGGCAAGGCGCAU
RNAcentral lists this ribosomal RNA (447 nucleotides) under uncultured bacterium. Its description in RNAcentral is "bacterial SSU rRNA". It matches the Rfam family "Bacterial small subunit ribosomal RNA", at positions 355 to 825 of the family's 1533-position model. The record is from RNAcentral.